AUUGAACGCUGGCGGCAGGCCUAACACAUGCAAGUCGAGCGGAUGAAGGGAGCUUGCUCCUGGAUUCAGCGGCGGACGGGUGAGUAAUGCCUAGGAAUCUGCCUGGUAGUGGGGGAUAACGUCCGGAAACGGGCGCUAAUACCGCAUACGUCCUGAGGGAGAAAGUGGGGGAUCUUCGGACCUCACGCUAUCAGAUGAGCCUAGGUCGGAUUAGCUAGUUGGUGGGGUAAAGGCCUACCAAGGCGACGAUCCGUAACUGGUCUGAGAGGAUGAUCAGUCGCACUGGAACUGAGACACGGUCCAGACUCCUACGGGAGGCAGCAGUGGGGAAUAUUGGACAAUGGGCGAAAGCCUGAUCCAGCCAUGCCGCGUGUGUGAAGAAGGUCUUCGGAUUGUAAAGCGCUUUAAGUUGGGAGGAAGGGCAGUAAGUUAAUACCUUGCUGUUUUGACGUUACCAACAGAAUAAGCACCGGCUAACUUCGUG
RNAcentral lists this ribosomal RNA (484 nucleotides) under uncultured bacterium. RNAcentral's name for it is "partial 16S ribosomal RNA". It matches the Rfam family "Bacterial small subunit ribosomal RNA", at positions 30 to 507 of the family's 1533-position model. The record is from RNAcentral.